This 1372-nucleotide ribosomal RNA is filed under the name uncultured bacterium. RNAcentral describes it as "bacterial SSU rRNA". It matches the Rfam family "Bacterial small subunit ribosomal RNA", at positions 28 to 1381 of the family's 1533-position model. The record is from RNAcentral.
GAUGAACGCUGGCGGCGUGCCUAAUACAUGCAAGUCGAGCGAACGGACGAGAAGCUUGCUUCUCUGAUGUUAGCGGCGGACGGGUGAGUAACACGUGGAUAACCUACCUAUAAGACUGGGAUAACUUCGGGAAACCGGAGCUAAUACCGGAUAAUAUUUUGAACCGCAUGGUUCAAAAGUGAAAGACGGUCUUGCUGUCACUUAUAGAUGGAUCCGCGCUGCAUUAGCUAGUUGGUAAGGUAACGGCUUACCAAGGCAACGAUGCAUAGCCGACCUGAGAGGGUGAUCGGCCACACUGGAACUGAGACACGGUCCAGACUCCUACGGGAGGCAGCAGUAGGGAAUCUUCCGCAAUGGGCGAAAGCCUGACGGAGCAACGCCGCGUGAGUGAUGAAGGUCUUCGGAUCGUAAAACUCUGUUAUUAGGGAAGAACAUAUGUGUAAGUAACUGUGCACAUCUUGACGGUACCUAAUCAGAAAGCCACGGCUAACUACGUGCCAGCAGCCGCGGUAAUACGUAGGUGGCAAGCGUUAUCCGGAAUUAUUGGGCGUAAAGCGCGCGUAGGCGGUUUUUUAAGUCUGAUGUGAAAGCCCACGGCUCAACCGUGGAGGGUCAUUGGAAACUGGAAAACUUGAGUGCAGAAGAGGAAAGUGGAAUUCCAUGUGUAGCGGUGAAAUGCGCAGAGAUAUGGAGGAACACCAGUGGCGAAGGCGACUUUCUGGUCUGUAACUGACGCUGAUGUGCGAAAGCGUGGGGAUCAAACAGGAUUAGAUACCCUGGUAGUCCACGCCGUAAACGAUGAGUGCUAAGUGUUAGGGGGUUUCCGCCCCUUAGUGCUGCAGCUAACGCAUUAAGCACUCCGCCUGGGGAGUACGACCGCAAGGUUGAAACUCAAAGGAAUUGACGGGGACCCGCACAAGCGGUGGAGCAUGUGGUUUAAUUCGAAGCAACGCGAAGAACCUUACCAAAUCUUGACAUCCUUUGACAACUCUAGAGAUAGAGCCUUCCCCUUCGGGGGACAAAGUGACAGGUGGUGCAUGGUUGUCGUCAGCUCGUGUCGUGGGAUGUUGGGUUAAGUCCCGCAACGAGCGCAACCCUUAAGCUUAGUUGCCAUCAUUAAGUUGGGCACUCUAAGUUGACUGCCGGUGACAAACCGGAGGAAGGUGGGGAUGACGUCAAAUCAUCAUGCCCCUUAUGAUUUGGGCUACACACGUGCUACAAUGGACAAUACAAAGGGCAGCGAAACCGCGAGGUCAAGCAAAUCCCAUAAAGUUGUCCUCAGUUCGGAUUGUAGUCUGCAACUCGACUACAUGAAGCUGGAAUCGCUAGUAAUCGUAGAUCAGCAUGCUACGGUGAAUACGUUCCCGGGUCU